RNAcentral lists this ribosomal RNA (506 nucleotides) under uncultured bacterium. RNAcentral's name for it is "bacterial SSU rRNA". It matches the Rfam family "Bacterial small subunit ribosomal RNA", at positions 29 to 525 of the family's 1533-position model. The record is from RNAcentral.
AGUGAACGCUGGCGGCAGGCCUAAUACAUGCAAGUCGAACGGCAGCACAGCAGAGCUUGCUCUGUGGGUGGCGAGUGGCGGACGGGUGAGGAAUACAUGGGAAUCUGCCCAGUCGUGGGGAUAACGUAGGGAAACUUACGCUAAUACCGCAUGCGCCCUUCGGGGAAAGCCGGGGACCUUCGGGCCUGGCGCGAUUGGAUGAGCCCAUGUCGGAUUAGCUAGUUGGCGGGGUAAUGGCCCACCAAGGCGACGAUCCGUAGCUGGUCUGAGAGGAUGAUCAGCCACACUGGAACUGAGACACGGUCCAGACUCCUACGGGAGGCAGCAGUAGGGAAUAUUGGACAAUGGGCGCAAGCCUGAUCCAGCCAUGCCGCGUGAGUGAAGAAGGCCCUCGGGUUGUAAAGCUCUUUUGUCCGGAAAGAAAAGCGCCGGGUUAAUACCCUGGUGUCCUGACGGUACCGGAAGAAUAAGCACCGGCUAACUUCGUGCCAGCAGCCGCGGUAAUC